CUCUCUGUAAAAAAAUCAAUAAAAUAUAUUUUUUUUUAAAAAGGGAAGGGGAUGGGAGAGGCAUUUCUAGUUAACUAAGAUAUAGCCAAUUCCAUUUUUUUUCUAAACAAACCAACCAAAAAAAUAGAAAUGAAUUUGCAAAGCCCUAUGUUUAUUAUUUGGUUUAUACUCACUUUGCUUUUGUCUAAGAGCAUGUUUUUCAUGACUGUUUAUGGAAGCAAACAAAAUGUUUGUUGAGUUUUUAAAAUUCAAAAUUGGUAAUUAACUUUUUGAAGAUUUAAUAAUCAUGGACCUUGAUCCUUCUCAAAUGGGACCAAGGCGUUUACAUAUGCCUGGGGAAUGUGUGGCUAAUAUACCAAGGAGACACGGAAGUCAUGAGGGAAAAUGGCAUAGUCAUCUAGGGAAAUAUUUUUUCCUAAUGUUUUUCCAAUAGUUUGAAGGAGAAAUAACAUUACUUCUUUAUUAACACAAAUGCAUUAUAAGGGAGAAGAAGGCAAAUAAUGGAGGAGAUUUUAAGAUAAAAUAAGACACAAAACGUUGUGUUUUCCAGAUGCUUUAAGUUAGCCUCCAACGCUCUUGGGGUAAUGUAUUUGUUUUCCUCUCUUAUCAGGGUACUUUGAUGGAAAAGUUGUGCAAAACUGAUUCAUAGCCAGCUAUCCUGCCACCAAAUAUAAAAGACUAUAUAACCAGACUGUGAGGGCAAUGUUUGUCUUUAAAAGAUUUUAUUUUAAAAUAUUAUAGAAGACUGCUUAAAAUGUCAUUUGAUUUACCCUAUUCCUGCCAGGUUACCUGCCUAAAACACAUUGCCAUCUUCCUUCCGAUCUAAGUUACGUGAACCCAGCUCAGGAUUCACUGACCCAAGAAGCUCUCCCAAAUGCCCAAAUAACUCCAGUCCAAAGUGAUGUCUCUUUUUGGAACUCACAGAACUCCCUGUCUAUUCCAAUUUUUAAGUAAACGAUUUUCUUUUAAGGUAAUCUGUGCUUCUUAUUGAAAACAUGGAAAAUGCAAGAAAAAAACAUAAAGAAUAUAAAAAUUACCUAUAAUAGCCUCCACCCACUGAUUAGUAUUUUUUAAGCUUUAUAUUUUACAUUUACAGGAUCUCACCUUGAAGUUAUGUUCACUGUAUAAUAUUGAAUCUGUGUUUGUUUCCCUCGCCAAAUGACAAUCAUUUCCUCCUCAUUAAAAACUGUAUAUAAACAUCCCAUUGUAUUUGACCUUUCAUUUGUUGUUUUUUGCCUAUUAACUCUAUGGCAUUCAUUUACUUGAUCAUUCGUUCAUUCUUUAAGCAAUGAUUAGUCACUUAUAAAAUACCAUAAGUUGUGCUUAUGUGCUUUCUUUCCCAUGCUAAAUUAACUCGAGUAAAGACCACUUUUUAACGUUCCCAAAAUUUCUGAGUAUAGACUUAAUCAAAUGAGGAGUAUUUGGGAAAUAUUUGAGAAUGAAUUUUCAAAAUUUAAUUUUAUUCUCAACUUUUUGAACACAUUCUUUUACAUCAAGGUGAAUCUCAAAUUUCGUGCAUCGAUGGUUGGCCACCUUUUAAUAAAAAGCCAUGGUUCAGAAACGAAAAGACUGAAGGAAAGAAUUCGUGUGUUAUAAUGGACCUGUGGGUUUUCUGGAAUAAGACUCUCUAUUCAUUUGCUCACCUCUGAGAACACUUUUGACAAAAGAAGCAACGAGGAAAGGUCAGUUAAUAAUUAACCUCUCUUAUCUACGUAGUUUAUGCCAUACUGUCUUGUGCCCUACAUAGCUACCACAACAGAGGACAAAAAAACCUCCACAUUAUUCUGAACUUAUAACUUAUGUGUAAUGCUAGCACUGAUGAUCAACAUAAACAUUCUGGGUGGUUCAGUUGUCGACCACGCUGCCAUCCACAUGAAAAUUCCUGUUCCUUCAGUGUCCUUCCUUGACAAAAACUAUAAAGCAGGAAAAUGCUCGUCGGAAAGGAGCCGAUUCAUUUCAACAGAAUAAGAUCUGAGACUCAAAAUCCUUGAAGUGACUUCACAGAGCUGCCGACAUGUACACAUGAAGACGCUGGAGCUCUCCCAGUUCCUAAGGAAGCUCCCUCCUCGGAGUGUGGAUGCUGUCACUCCGUCUUCCUUCUUUUGUGCUGAAAUGAACACACUGUCUAGUCCGGGGAAAGACUGCACUUAGGACAUAUAACUAGUCUCAGUUACUCAAAGAAAGAGUUGCCUAAGAUUUCUGUUUACAAGUUUGUCGUUUUCCUUAUUUUCAAAUGUGUGUAAUAUGGAAUUGGGCUCAUUAAGGAGAAUUUGGAAAAUGCAAGAGUAAGAUAGGAACUGCGGGGGCUGGGCCAGUUGCCGCCAAAAGCUCUUUCUAGAGCUAGUAUUCUAACUCUGUUUUGUUUGCCUUUUUGUACACUUGUGAGAUGGACGUUCAUUUAAGACUGUGAAGCUUAAAUGAUCUACACCAUUAUAAUGAGAAAGGAAUAAAAGGUUUUAUCUUUGCAAAUCUA
This is a long non-coding RNA of Myotis lucifugus (little brown bat), 2473 nucleotides long. RefSeq lists it as uncharacterized. The transcript is spliced from 2 exons. The record is from RefSeq and is a predicted model, not a curated record. Lineage: Eukaryota; Metazoa; Chordata; Mammalia; Chiroptera; Vespertilionidae.